RNAcentral lists this ribosomal RNA (468 nucleotides) under uncultured bacterium. Its description in RNAcentral is "partial 16S ribosomal RNA". It matches the Rfam family "Bacterial small subunit ribosomal RNA", at positions 28 to 507 of the family's 1533-position model. The record is from RNAcentral.
GACGAACGCUGGCGGCGUGCUUAACACAUGCAAGUCGAACGGUGAUGCUCCAGCUUGCUGGAGUGGAUCAGUGGCGAACGGGUGAGUAACACGUGAGCAACCUGCCCCAGACUCUGGAAUAAGCGCUGGAAACGGCGUCUAAUACUGGAUACGAAACUGGCCCGCAUGGGCAUGGUUUGGAAAGUUUUUCGGUUUGGGAUGGGCUCGCGGCCUAUCAGCUUGUUGGUGAGGUAAUGGCUCACCAAGGCGACGACGGGUAGCCGGCCUGAGAGGGCGACCGGCCACACUGGGACUGAGACACGGCCCAGACUCCUACGGGAGGCAGCAGUGGGGAAUAUUGCACAAUGGGCGAAAGCCUGAUGCAGCGACGCCGCGUGAGGGAUGACGGCCUUCAGGUUGUAAACCUCUUUCAGCAGGGAAGAAGCGAAAGUGACGGUACCUGCAGAAGAAGCACCGGCUAACUACGUG